RNAcentral lists this transfer RNA (64 nucleotides) under Monodelphis domestica (gray short-tailed opossum). It matches the Rfam family "tRNA", at positions 5 to 66 of the family's 71-position model. Rfam says of the family: Transfer RNA (tRNA) molecules are approximately 80 nucleotides in length. Their secondary structure includes four short double-helical elements and three loops (D, anti-codon, and T loops). The record is from Rfam by way of RNAcentral. Lineage: Eukaryota; Metazoa; Chordata; Mammalia; Didelphimorphia; Didelphidae.
CUUUUGCUCAGUAGGUAGCGCGUCAGUCUUGCAAACUGAAGGUCCUGAGUUUGAUCCUCAAAAG